Non-coding RNA from Pelobates cultripes (western spadefoot toad), 209 nucleotides. NCBI's taxonomy places the organism in Eukaryota, Metazoa, Chordata, Amphibia, Anura, Pelobatidae. The record is from the annotation of a GenBank genome assembly.
AGCUUUUACAAGCACGGAAGCCAUCAUCUUUUUUUCGGUUAAAUCUACCCUCUGCAGAGUGUCGGGUAGGUUCUUGUUUUACGGCCCACGAUCUGGCCAAACCACUACAUUACAGUCAGAUGUUUAUAUAUCAAAUCUCAUGUCCACAGGUAAACACCUCAAUACUCUUACAGUCGCUGGUUACCUCUACGUUGACAGCUCAGCCUGAC